UACGUAGGGACCGAGCGUUGUCCGGAUUCAUUGGGCGUAAAGAGCUCGUAGGCGGCUGUUCAAGUCGAACGUGAAAACUCGGAGCUCAACUCCGAGCCUGCGUUCGAUACUGGACGGCUAGAGUACGGUAGAGGGGGAUGGAAUUCCGCGUGUAGCAGUGAAAUGCGUAGAUAUGCGGAGGAACACCGAUGGCGAAGGCAAUCCCCUGGACCUGUACUGACGCUCAUGCACGAAAGCGUGGGGAGCAAACAGG
Molecule: ribosomal RNA, 253 nt
Filed under: uncultured bacterium
Lineage: Bacteria
Description: partial 16S ribosomal RNA
Rfam family: Bacterial small subunit ribosomal RNA
Source: RNAcentral